AGCUCAUCUAAAGAUAGAGUGCAAUCCAUGCAAGCGCAUUCUAAACAAAUCAACCAAUCUUGGAGAAAAGUCUAUGACCAAGCCAGAUAGAAGAGCCUACCCCAAAACAAGGACAGUCUCCACAAGCACACACAGAGGGCAAACUACCAAGCUGCUCUCCACAAGCACACACA
Molecule: long non-coding RNA, 173 nt
Organism: Strongylocentrotus purpuratus (purple sea urchin)
Lineage: Eukaryota; Metazoa; Echinodermata; Echinoidea; Camarodonta; Strongylocentrotidae
Exons: 3
Source: RefSeq, a predicted model, not a curated record